CCCAGUAUAGUGGUACGUAUUUCCUUUAGUAACAUGAAAAAAAAAAACCUUUGCAAAAAACUGCACAAUAAUGCUUUUACUCUCUGCAUUCAGUGAAAACACACAUGAUUUAUUGAGCACACAAGCCCAGAGCAGUUGGCAGCCAGUAAUGUGGUGCCUAUUAGAUAAUGAGGGUUAAGGCUUUGCUCACUUGGCAAAACCCUGAUAUAGACCCCACAAGCCUUUUAUUAUUAAUAAUAUUAUCAAGACUUUUAAAAUAAUAAACACCUGAGACAGUGCUGACUCUUCAUGAAUGAUCCUGUGGUGAAUGUGGUUCAGUGUUCUGCCCACUAAACCAUCAUUGGCUUCAAAUUAGUAUCGCAAUUAAUUUAACUGUUUACUUUUAGUCAACAUUUUUUUAAUAAUUAAAACGACAUAUAUGAUUGGUACAAAUUGCUCUGAUUGCUCACUAUUUGGGUUCCAUUUGUUGCUUGCAUGUAACAGAGAAAGAAAAGAUCAGGCUCAGAAUUAGUUUGAAAUCAAUUUCCAGUGUUGAAGAAACCACCUUAAAAGUAUUAACACAUGGGCAGAAGUAUGAGAGUAUAUAGGAUUGUAGGAGUAUUAAUAAAUCUACAUUUUACACCUGUACAGAUUGUCACUGGUCUUUUGCACACUUGUGCAUUCACAUACACCUGUUCACUGUCUUCACAAUCUCCCUCUAGCCAUCAUCUUUCUGUUUUGUUGACUAGGAUUUGUCACUGAGAUCAAAUUGUAUCAGUACCUAUGGUCUCGCCACAGGAAGAAUUUGUCAUCGCCCCCAUUGAUUGGUCUGCAACUUUUCACAGUACUUGUGGACAGGAGUCAGUACUCAAGCACAGAAAUCUAUCUGUGCCAUGCGUGUGAGAUCAACAUCUCAACAUCUGCUUCCUCUCAUCUCACCUCCAUGCAACACUAUUUCAAUGUUUUUGCACACUCAAAACCGGAUCUAGUGUUCCUUGGUUCUCAAAAUUUGAACCAGAUCACAGAGCUUGCUCAAGAAGAAGAACUGAAGCAAGGAAAGCCCAUACUGCAGGUGUGUGAGGUUCCAAAUCAUCUGUGCAGGAUAUUCAAGAACUUGUCUUAUGAGAGAAGUAAGGCUAAUAAAUUCUGUUUGCAACAAAGGUCUUGUAUAUGUAUUGAUAAUUUUACAAAAAGGGGAGAAGAAUCAUUACUAGUAGAUAUUUCUGUUGGACAAAAUUAUAAAAUAUUUGUUGUGUGUAAUGAAUUUGUUUUUCCUUCCCUUAUUCUCACUAGUCAUGGCAACAAUUGAGGAGCAGUAUUCAGAGAUGAACAAAUGUGCUGGAGGUUUGUAUUCCUGUUUUGAGUUAAAAUACAUCCUCCUUUUUUUCUUUUUUUUUUUUUUUUUUUUUGACUAAGUUCUAAACAGUUUUGUUUUUUUUUUUUUUUUUUUUUUUUGGCACCCCUCCGCACUUUAAAAAUGCAGUAGUAGAUCACAUCACGUAGUUGUCGUGGUAAAAAUCUAUCCAUCAAAUAUAUAAGUUGGAGCCUUUGACUAACAUUUUAUUAAGCGCAAAAGAGAGCAGGCAGAGAAAACUGGGUUAUACAGGUCCUUCUCAAAAAAUUAGCAUAUUGUGACAGUUCAUUCUUUUGCAUAAUGAAAUGAUAAAAAUUACUUUCAUAUAUUUUAGAUUCAUUGCACACCAACUAAAAUAUUUCAGGUCUUUUAUUAUUUAAUACUGAUGAAUUUGGCAUACAGCUCAUGAAAACCCAAAAUUCCUAUCUCACAAAAUUACCAUAUCAUGAAAAGGUUCUCCUAAAUGAGCUAUGAACCUAAUCAUCUGAAUCAACGAAUUAACUCUAAACACCUGCAAAAGAUUCCUGAGGCUUUUAAAAACUCCCAGCCUGGUUCAUUACUCAAAACCGCAAACAUGGGUAAGACUGCCGACCUGACUGCUGUCCAGAAGGCCAUCAUUGACCCUCAAGCAAGAGGGUAAGACACAGAAAGAAAUUUCUGAACGAAUAGGCUGUUCCCAGAGUGCUGUAUCAAGGAAGUCUGUGGGAAGGAAAAAGUGUGGAAGAAAACGCUGCACAGCGAGAAGAGGUGACCGGACCCUGAGGAAGAUUGUGGAGAAGGGCCGAUUCCAGACCUUGGGGACCUGCGGAAGCAGUGGACUGAGUCUGGAGUAGAAACAUCCAGAGCCACCG
This 2184-nucleotide long non-coding RNA is filed under the name Astyanax mexicanus (Mexican tetra). RNAcentral describes it as "lncRNA (ENSAMXG00005022700.1)". Lineage: Eukaryota; Metazoa; Chordata; Actinopteri; Characiformes; Acestrorhamphidae. The record is from RNAcentral.